CCGGCCUCCCGUUUGGGCUCAGGGUUUCCAGAAGCCCAGGGCUGAAACUGGGCAGCCUUCCCGUGGGGGAAUCCCGUUGCCUGGCCUCCCACCUUUGCCCUCCCAAUCGCACACACUGGCGCGGGUGGGGAAAUUGAGGCUGGCGGAGAGGGACUGCAUUCCAGACGGAGAGGGGCAAGUGGGUGAAGGCAGAGCACACCUCCUCCUUGGGCCUCUUUCCACCGUCGGACAGAUGGCUGGCACUUCGUCUCACUCGCUCCUGCUUUCUAGUGGACAGACUGUGACCUGGGACUGUGAUUUCCCGUAAUUGCUCAGGACAUCGCACGACUGAUUUAACUCCUGGAAUUCCGAUUCCAUCCUAUUGGCACGAAGUGGAAACUCGGAGCUUUGAACAAACGUUCCAGGUGGUCUGUAGUGCCCACCCUUGGAGACACACUAUUGAAGAUUUCUCUGCGCCUCUCUGAGGAAAGAGGAGGACCUGGAGACAAGUCUGCCUCACAACUCAGGUCAGCGAGAGAAGCAUUCAAUGCACAGGAAGCACCUGAAGAAAGCUAUUCAAAUGGGCAACAAUGAGGAAGCUGAGGCUCCAAGAUGUCAAACAAUUUGCCCAGCAUUUUUUCUACCUCACGAGCAGUGGAACAACAAGCGAUUCUACCCAAAGGGUCACUGAAUCUGUGCUUCACCGUUCUGGCAGAAAAAUCGCAACACUUCCUACAAAGAAGAAAGGCUCACAUCAGGAGUUCUAGCCCCCCCCCCCCCCGCCCUAGGUAUUCUAGCUCUGGAUGUCAGAGAGCUACUUCAGAUCCAUUUGGUACAGGCUGUCCCUUCAUUGGUUUCUGCCAGAGUACAGGCCCCCUAGGAGCCCCCAUGUCUCUUCAGGUAAAUGGCAGCUGCCCUGGGGACUGGGCCUGGAGGUAGGACAGUUGUGGAGGGCUCCUGAGAGCAAGGCUUUGACUCUGGACUGCGUUUUUUUGACGAAGGCCUCUUGACUGACUCUGCACACACUGAGCCCACAGCUUCCUGGAUUUCUACUGGAGCCUUAAAACUCCAUGUGUCUGGGGGCUGGAGAGGUGGCUCAGUGGUUAAGAGCACGGACUGCUCUUCCUGAGGUCCUGAGUUCAAAUCCCAGCAACCACAUGGUGGCUCACAACCAUCUGUAAUAAGAUCUGAUGCCCUCUUCUGGUGUGUCUGAAGGCAGUUACAGUGUACUCAUAUACAAUAAAAUAAAAUCUU
RNAcentral lists this long non-coding RNA (1233 nucleotides) under Rattus norvegicus (Norway rat). RNAcentral describes it as "long non-coding RNA NONRATT026283". Lineage: Eukaryota; Metazoa; Chordata; Mammalia; Rodentia; Muridae. The record is from RNAcentral.